UUGAUAGAGGUGCGGCUUUUAUCAGUACUACGGUCAAUUUUAUGGCUCGGAACAGCCCGUAGGAAAGGAAACGCCGCCGAAGUUUAUAAAUCGGUUCCGCGGUUUAUAAAUUGGUGCAAUGCAAAAUAUGUCUUGUACUGUCACAUAUUGUGGAGCGCUAUCUU
This 164-nucleotide non-coding RNA is filed under the name pig gut metagenome. Its description in RNAcentral is "Lysine riboswitch". It matches the Rfam family "Lysine riboswitch aptamer". From Rfam's summary of the family: Riboswitches are metabolite binding domains within certain messenger RNAs that serve as precision sensors for their corresponding targets. The record is from RNAcentral.